UUUCCAAAACCAGUUCUCACUUUGUUUCAGGUGGCUAGGUAUUCUUAGUCUCUAAGCUUCCUUUAUAAUCCUGUUUUCCUGUUUCCUUUCUUUCUAUAUCUGAUUGGUUGCCAGCAUACCUUGUUUUCCUUUAUAAACGUCCUCUCUACUCAUGUUGAUACUGCCUUUAUCCUGGCCUUUUGCGCCACAUACUUGGGUUUGCCACAGUCUCUUCGCUUACCUCCUUGUUCUGUUUAUCUCCUUCACCAGCAGCACAUCUCCAUGAAUGCUGCUGGGGUCAUCUUUAUGCCCUAUUUUAUCAUGACUAUUAACUCUGACUAAUAUUUCUUUAAAGUUGGUUGUAGAUGUUUACUAUAAAUAUUUCUCUGUGACAUUAACAGGGACAUUAACAGGUGUGGUAAGGUCGUUGUCGACAUUGUAUUCCCAGUAAUUUAGAAUUUUUUUCUAUCUCUGAUAAGGAAUAAUGAUAGAGUAGGUAAAUUCCAACAUUAACAACAACAAGAAAAUAAUGAACUAGAUUUUGAUAUACUAACACGGAAUGUUCUUCCAGCUGUAUUGUUAAGCCAACAAAGUAUACAUAAUGUACAAGUAUAUGCAUGUAAAUGCACUAAAAGAAAAGAUUUGUAAGUGUAUACACCAAAUGAACAGACUUUACCUCUCAGAAGAAAAUAGUGUGGUAGGCGAAAGCAUAAAGAGGGAACUUUAGUUUUUACUACUCCAUAGUUUAGUAUUAUUUACUUUUUUAAAAAACCACAGGCACAUAUUUAUAUUUUAUUCUUUAAGAAACCUAAAGGGUUUCCUUGGCGAAGAAUGUGAAACACACACACACAAGAUGGGCACGGAGUAGUCUUGAAAGACAUGACAAUAUCACCAGACCUGAGAAGAAGCUAAAGAGCCAGAGGGAAAAAGUCAGAAGUCGACUACCUGGGAGGAGGGAUAGACAAGAGACCAAACUAAAGGAAACUAAGUGUGGGUCCAGCUUGUCCCCAAAGCUUGCCUUGCUUCGAAGCAUCCGAGGUAAAGAAUCUUCACCUAUGCCUGUGAUUUGUGGGUCUGAAGGAAACUAUCCAUCCUUGCAAAUGUCUUCUGCUGAGAUGCCUCACACGGAGACUGUCUCUCCUCUUCCUUCCUCCAUGGAUCUGCUUAUUCAGGACAGCCCCAAUUCUUCCACCAGUCCGAAAGGCAAACAACCUACUGCUGCAGAGAAUAGUGCCACAAAAAAGGAAGACAAGGUCCUGGUCAAGAAACAGAAGGCCAGAACGGUGUUCUCUUCCACCCAGGUGUGUACUCGAUAGAUUUCAGAGACAGAGAUACCUCAGUCUCCAGCAGAUGCAAGAACUUUCCAACAUCCUGAACCUCGGCUAGAAACAGGUGAAGACCUGGUUCUAGAACCAGAGAAUGAAAUCUAAGAGGUGGCUGAAAAACAAUUGGCCAAAGAAUACUAAUGGUGUGACUCAGAAGGGCUCAGCACCUACCUACCCCAGUCUCUACUCUUCCUACCACCAGGGAUGCCUGGUGAGCCCGACUGGGAACCUUCCUAUGUGGAGCAACCAGACCUGGAACAAUUCACCCUGGAGCAACCAGACCCAGAACAUCCCACCCUGGAGCAACCACUCCUGGAACGCUCAGACCUGGUGCACCCAGUCCUGGAACAAUCAGGCCUGGAACAGUCCCUUCUAUGACUAUGAAGAGGAAUCUCUGCAGUCUUGCUUGCAGUUCCAGCCAAAUUCUCCUGCCAGUGACUUGGAGGCUGCCUUGGAAGCUGCCGGGGAAGGCCUUUAAUGUAAUACAGCAGACGUCUAGGUAUUUUAGUACUCCACAAACCAUGGAUUUAUUCCUAAACUACUCCACGAACGUGCAACCUGAAGAUAUGUGAAGAUGAGUGAAAUUGAUAUUACUCAAUUUCAGUCUGGGCACUGGCUGAACCUUCCUCUCCCCUCCCUGAUAGGAUUUUUCUUGUUUGGAAACCACGUGUUCCGGUUUCCAUUAUGCCUGUCCAGUCAAUUUGAUGGACGGUGGAGUAUGGUUGGAGCCUAAUCAGAGAGGUUUCUUUUUUUCCUAUUGGAUCUUCCUGGAGAAAAGACAUUUUAAUAACUUUGGCUGCUAAGGACAACAUGAUAAAAGCUGUCUCUGGCUAUAGAUAAGUAGAUCUAAUACUAGUUUGGAUAUCUUUAGGGUUUAGAAUCUAACCUCAAGAAUAAGAAAUACAAGUACAAGUUGGUGUGAUGAAGAUACUCGAUUGUUUGGGAUUGGGAGGCUUUGCUUAUUUUUUAAAAACUAUUGAGGUAAACGGUUAAGCUGUAACAUACUUAAUUGAUUUCCUCACCCUUUUUGGCUCAGUUUUACUAUAUCCCCUGAUUUGUUGGUUAUGCUAAUCUUUGUAGAAAGAGGUCUUAUAUUUGCUGCAUCAUAAUGACAUUAGUACUACUUUAGUCAAUUUAAGUACAAAUGAAUCAAACAACUAUUUUUCCUUUAGUUGAUUUUACCCUUAUUUUACCUAGUGUUUCAAUGAGUAAAUAUACAGCUUAAACAUUAAAAAAAAAAAAAAAAAAGAAAAGGAAAAACAGAAGAAACCUAAAGGAAGUUUGCUUUUUUGAGAUUAAAAAGUAUUUAGGCAUGUAGGUUUUUGCAGAAUAGCAAGUCACCAACCAAGGGCCCUUUAUUUCCACAUAGAAAGGUAAGAACAUCAAGCUAUGUGAAGUGAACAAUAUCAAUCAUUGCAACUUCUAAUAUUAAGGGUAGAUUUGCAUGUAA
Rhinopithecus roxellana (golden snub-nosed monkey) is the source of this 2754-nucleotide RNA transcript. It is a transcript of the gene named homeobox protein NANOG pseudogene, with no coding region annotated. The transcript has a single exon. The record is from RefSeq and is a predicted model, not a curated record. Lineage: Eukaryota; Metazoa; Chordata; Mammalia; Primates; Cercopithecidae.